This 829-nucleotide long non-coding RNA is filed under the name Lynx canadensis (Canada lynx). RNAcentral's name for it is "lncRNA (ENSLCNG00005015532.1)". The record is from RNAcentral. Lineage: Eukaryota; Metazoa; Chordata; Mammalia; Carnivora; Felidae.
CCCCAGGUAGGGUAAAACACAUUACUUAAUUCCUUACUACCAUCUGACUAACUAUGCAAAGUAAAAAAUGUCCAGCUUCAAAUAGAAAUCACCUUUUUCUUUUCUUUUGUUUUAAAGUAAACUCUACCCCCAAUGUGGGACUGGAACUCCCCACCAGAGAUCAGGAGUUGCAUGCUGUACUGACUGAGCCAGCGAGGCACCCGUAGAAAUCACCUUUUUCAUCAAAUGGCUUCACCAACCUCUUUAGAAUCCAGUGCACAAGACCAAGGAAUGGGCCCAGGAAUCCUUUGGAGGAAAUAUGGAGAGCAUUGGCAAUAGUUGUUAAGUUCAGUACAGUGAAAUCCAGUUACCCAACUGGAGUUAACUAUACCAAGGCAAUGGAUACCAGCAAGAAAGGUGUGGAAAACAAUGCCGGUACCCAUUUGUUCCUCGGUUGGAUCAGAAGAGUUUCAGUGAUACCAAAUCUUGUGCCGGUUGUGACAUCUGUGUCCAUGAAUAUGCUGACUGUGACUGGGCACCCUUCAUAUGAAGAGAUCUGAGUUCUUCAUGGCAUGCCAGAUGCAGUUGCUAUUAUUGGAUAAUCAUCCAAUUUCUCCAUAUGCCUUCCAAGGGAAAACGAGUCAAUUUCAGGUAAGCAUCUAAGUAGCUCUUACUUAUCUGCUCAGCAUUGUUUCUUUAUAGAUACUAAAAAUAAAUAGGGCAAAAAUUUUCCAACUUGAUCCCUUUAAUAAUUUAUAUGUAGGUGUCUGAGAGCACUAAGAAAAUUAAACUAUUUUUAAAGGCUGAUAAAUAACAAUCUACUAUGAGGAAACCAGUCUGAGAAGAAAAA